This is a long non-coding RNA of Sander lucioperca (pikeperch), 170 nucleotides long. RefSeq lists it as uncharacterized. The record is from RefSeq and is a predicted model, not a curated record. NCBI's taxonomy places the organism in Eukaryota, Metazoa, Chordata, Actinopteri, Perciformes, Percidae. The transcript has 3 exons.
AUCUCCUUAAAUAUCCCUGCAGUCUGCUCGCGUCCAUUAUGCACGUUCAUCAUGCCUAGUUUAAUAACUCUGGAUUCGGCUACUAGUAAAUGUUAAAAAUGUUAAAAACGUGACAUUUUAAACAAGGACUCUUUAAGUGUUCGGUCUGGUAAGUUGAUGUACCCCAAAAA